ACAGGUUUGCAACAUCCUUACUAUAAAAGUUAUAAAUUGAAAUAAUGAUGACAUGGAAUAAAAGGAGAAACCAAAAGCAGGAAAAUGUGGAAACAUGUUCAAGGAGGAAGAACUAACACAGUCAUUUGUGUUGAGCCUCUUGACGGCCAAGCAAAACUUAAGGAAGUGAGAACGAGACUGACCAUCCUAGAACCAAUCUGGGGACUUAGGUGCCAUGUGUCAUGUGUGAUCUGUGCGGGGCCAGCAAAGCCACAGCUGGUGGUCAGCAAAUGAAAACUAUUCCCCACAGAUCCCAUCCCCCCAGAGAAUGUCGGCAUGAUAAUUUUCCACUUCCAUCUAACUUAGCUUCCUGUUCACUGUAAGAUCUGAAUAAAUGCUUUUUCCUC
RNAcentral lists this long non-coding RNA (386 nucleotides) under Homo sapiens (human). Its description in RNAcentral is "HSALNT0047966". The record is from RNAcentral. Lineage: Eukaryota; Metazoa; Chordata; Mammalia; Primates; Hominidae.